RNAcentral lists this ribosomal RNA (22 nucleotides) under Candida albicans. Its description in RNAcentral is "partial 18S ribosomal RNA". Lineage: Eukaryota; Fungi; Ascomycota; Pichiomycetes; Serinales; Debaryomycetaceae. The record is from RNAcentral.
GGGGCCUGCGGAAGGAUCAUUA